Molecule: long non-coding RNA, 1953 nt
Organism: Stegostoma tigrinum
Lineage: Eukaryota; Metazoa; Chordata; Chondrichthyes; Orectolobiformes; Stegostomatidae
Exons: 3
Source: RefSeq, a predicted model, not a curated record
AGAUUUGACUAUUAUUUCCGGUCAGUCAGCUUGCCGAAGCAGUCAGAUUUCCGUCAUACUACUCUGAAUAAAAAUGGCAUCAGGAGAUGAGCUUCCAUCACAUCUCGCUGUCGAUACCUCCAACGUUCAAAUUCUUAACUCUGAGACCUCAAAAAGACUCGUCGAAAAUUUUGUAAUCGCUCUCAUGAACAAGGAGCGUUUCUACAUCCGCAUUUCUUUUCGACAUACAAACCAUAUGCCACUGCUGAAAGUGUGUUGUACAUCCUCCUGGACAAAUAUGGAAGCUUUGACACCUCAGAGGCAGAAGAGAUUCCAGUAAUCGAUUCAGUGAGCACAAAGUAAGCUUUAGUCGAAUGUGUGACUUAAUUAAGUUUCAGCCAAAAUACAACAAUGUUAAAAAACCUGCUGGCACUUCCUGUAAGAUCUGUGGAGGGCCUUCCUCCCACAGCAAUGCAGCAAACACUGGACAGCAGCAGUCAUACUAAUGAAGUUGCUUGAUUGUAUCAAAAAUCUACACAGAUUUUGUUAGUUUGAAAAGAAAAGUUGUAUCAACAGAAAAGAUCCAAAAGUGUUGAGUGAAAAAUUGCUCAUCCAUUCACUAUUCAGACCUCCAUUGGUCGCCAAACAUUUAGAUAGCUGAGCUCUGAAUUAAGUAUACAACAUGUCGAAGAAUUGAUUUUCCUACCUCCUCCCCUCCCCUCAGUCUGCCUGUGGUGUCUUUCAAAUCUCCUGUGAAGGUUUUGAAGAAAAACCUACUCCCAGUACAUCUGGAGGGUGAUCUAUUUUAUAAAAACAGUUGACCAAAGAAUGAAAUAGAGGCAGAGCUGCAAUCUUUUCUUUGCUGUCAUUACGGUUGGUAUUGCUGAGCUUAUACAAAAGAGAUUUGCAGGCCAAUGUCCACUGUAGGAGUUGGGAAGCUCCAAUAUUUGCCAGAGAGACAGACAUGUGCAGCUCUCAGCUGGUGACUUAAUUCAUGCCCAGUGAGUCAUUAAACCUGCUACUUUGCCCAAUGCUGACAACACAGUAUAAUGGUGCAGAAGAGAGUUCAGCUCUCCUCAUGAACUCCCCUCCACUUUGCCAAGAAUGUCAUGUCUCAGGCCAAGGCCAGUUGACUUGGGACAUUCAGCCCUGUAUGUAGAGACAGUAUCUGAAGUUCUUCACUGGAAAGUUGGUUGCCCUUCUAUAUUUGGGCCUGGAGCUCAUUGUUUGAGAUAUUUUUAGACUUUGCAACAAAUAUAAAAUGUUGAAGAAAUGGAUUUGUUACAUCCUUCUGUCUCUCUCUCUCUCCGUCUCUCUUUACUUCCACUCUCCAGUUUCAUGGUCUUAUCCUGUAAACUAUCGUUCAGGGUUUGGGGGAGACCAAUCAUCAUAUUCUGUAGUUGCGUCUUGACCCGUUGUUACAAAAUUAGCUGUCAAUGGCACGAAAUGCCGACUCAAUAUCUUUCAGGUGUGUGGAGAUAAUUUUCUUGUGGAUGUGGAUGUUUGCUCAAAUUUACUUGAUAACACUUUGAGGACCAUUUGCAGAUCACCUGAAAGUGCAAACUACAAGGUAGGUGGGAAACCAUGCACUCUAAAAUCUAUCAUGAAAGAGUAAAUUUGAAUACAAUAAGUGGUUAAGGUUUUGCUUUAUUCAGAGUACAAGGAAUACAAAGGAAACUGCCGAUGAGCUAAGAAUUACUGGGUACAAGUAUUUGUUUAAAAUGACAUUCUUCACAACUAAUUUCAGCAGCAGGAACAAUGCUAACAUUCCGAGCUGUGAGGAGCUUGAAAAUCCAAUUCCUCCAGAGACAGUUGCUGAGAUCAGAAAAUAAGUAUUGAUCCAAUGUGUGAGGAAAUGAUGCUUUAAUCAGAAUACAACUAUGUGAAGGGCAACCGCUGGAGGCCGCCAUUUUCAGGAACAUUAUUGAGAGACUUUCUCCUGAAACUUAGCAGCAUCUGUGGAGAGAAAGCAGA